RNAcentral lists this transfer RNA (65 nucleotides) under Brueelia nebulosa. RNAcentral's name for it is "tRNA-Gly". The record is from RNAcentral. Lineage: Eukaryota; Metazoa; Arthropoda; Insecta; Psocodea; Philopteridae.
ACUUCUCUAUUAUAAAAUUUAAGUAAACUUAACUUCCAAUUAAGAAGUCCUGAAAGGGAGAAGUA